Molecule: ribosomal RNA, 625 nt
Filed under: uncultured ciliate
Lineage: Eukaryota; Ciliophora
Description: SSU rRNA
Rfam family: Eukaryotic small subunit ribosomal RNA
Source: RNAcentral
UUGGACAACCAUGGCAGUCACGGGUAACGGGGAAUUAGGGUUCGAUUCCGGAGAGGGAGCCUGAGAAACGGCUACCACUUCUAAGGAAGGCAGCAGGCGCGUAAAUUACCCAAUCCUGAUUCAGGGAGGUAGUGUCAAGAAAUAACGGACCGAGGCCCUCGGGCUUCGGGAUUGCAAUGGGCCGAAUUUGCACCCCUUAGCGAGGAUCGAUUGGAGGGCAAGUCUGGUGCCAGCAGCCGCGGUAAUUCCAGCUCCAAUAGCGUAUAUUAAAGUUGUUGCAGUUAAAAAGCUCGUAGUUGGAUUUCUGGGAGGAUGCUAAUGUCCGUCGUUGUACGUGUGCAGCAGCGUCCUUCCAUCCUUCUGUUAACGCCUCUUGGCAUUCAUUUGCUGGUGGCGGGCUCAGAUAUUUUACCUUGAGAAAAUUAGAGUGUUCCAGGCAGGCUUGCGCCGGAAUACAUUAGCAUGGAAUAAUAGAAUAGGACUUCUCUCUCCUUUGUUGGUUUGAGGGAACGGAGUAAUGAUUAAUAGGGAUAGUUGGGGGCAUUAGUAUUUAAUUGUCAGAGGUGAAAUUCUCGGAUUUGUUAAAGACUAACUUAUGCGAAAGCAUUUGCCAAGGAUGUUUUCA